This 729-nucleotide transfer RNA is filed under the name uncultured cyanobacterium. Its description in RNAcentral is "partial 16S-23S ribosomal RNA intergenic spacer". The stretch from base 185 to 258 matches the Rfam family "tRNA". The record is from RNAcentral. Lineage: Bacteria; Bacillati; Cyanobacteriota.
CAGGGAGACAACAAUUGAUCAUGAUGUUCUGAGUAAAUUACUAUUCUUAGACCAUGAUCCUGUCACCUUAGGUCGAUCGGUACCUCGAUAUCGAUUCAUAAGACUGGAUAGAUUAAUCAAUCUAGUCUUUGUUUCUUAUUCAGUUCCUAAACUUGUCUAGGUCACACCCAACAAGGGUACUCCUGGGCCAUUAGCUCAGGUGGUUAGAGCGCACCCCUGAUAAGGGUGAGGUCCCUGGUUCAAGUCCAGGAUGGCCCAUUCGGUGUUGGGGGUAUAGCUCAGUUGGUAGAGCGCCUGCUUUGCAAGCAGGAUGUCAGGAGUUCGAGUCUCCUAACCUCCACUGACCGAACUUAAUCUCCAUCUUCUGAACAGUGGAAGGUGAACUCGUAGGUGUGUGAUUUAGAUGUGUCCGCUGGCAUGAACUCAGCUUCCUGUCAUUCCAAAUGAUGAGUGUUUGCUCUGAAUUUGGUUGAUAAGAUGCUGGGCUCGAACUGAGCGAUCAGUUUGAUGUCUAGCAGAACCUUGACAACUGCAUAGGUGAGUCUGGAAAGAAUAAAGCAUCUCUCAUGGAUGCAUCAUUCUUUGAUGAAUGAUGUCAAUUCUUGAGCAAGAGCCGAGACUCCAUCACGUUCUUCUGAUUGUGUCGAGCAAUCAGGAGUUUGAUUAUUGAUUUAGCAAUAAAUCAGUGAGAAUCCGUUUCAACGACGGCAAGCGUGUUGGAGAUUAUAU